RNAcentral lists this ribosomal RNA (402 nucleotides) under Verrucomicrobiota bacterium. Its description in RNAcentral is "Verrucomicrobia bacterium partial 16S ribosomal RNA". It matches the Rfam family "Bacterial small subunit ribosomal RNA", at positions 355 to 776 of the family's 1533-position model. The record is from RNAcentral. Lineage: Bacteria; Pseudomonadati; Verrucomicrobiota.
UGGGGAAUUUUGCACAAUGGGGGAAACCCUGAUGCAGCGACGCCGCGUGAUUUAGAAGGCCUUCGGGUUGUAAAAAUCUUAUGUAUGGGAAGAAAAUGACAGUACCAUACGAAUAAGGACCGGCUAAUUACGUGCCAGCAGCCGCGGUAAUACGUAAGGUCCGAGCGUUGUCCGGAAUCAUUGGGCGUAAAGGGUACGUAGGCGGAUAAGCAAGUUAGAAGUGAAAUCCUAUAGCUCAACUAUAGUAAGCUUUUAAAACUGCUCAUCUUGAGGUAUGGAAGGGAAAGUGGAAUUCCUGGUGUAGCGGUGAAAUGCGCAGAUAUUAGGAGGAAUACCGGUGGCGAAGGCGACUUUCUGGCCAUAUACUGACGCUGAGGUACGAAAGCGUGGGUAGCAAACAGG